RNAcentral lists this ribosomal RNA (792 nucleotides) under uncultured Lactobacillus sp. RNAcentral's name for it is "bacterial SSU rRNA". It matches the Rfam family "Bacterial small subunit ribosomal RNA", at positions 28 to 776 of the family's 1533-position model. Lineage: Bacteria; Bacillati; Bacillota; Bacilli; Lactobacillales; Lactobacillaceae. The record is from RNAcentral.
GAUGAACGCCGGCGGUGUGCCUAAUACAUGCAAGUCGAGCGCACUGGCCCAACUGAUAUGACGUGCUUGCACUGAAUUGACGUUGGAUUCCCAGUGAGCGGCGGACGGGUGAGUAACACGUGGGCAACCUGCCCUGAAGCGGGGGAUAACAUCUGGAAACAGGUGCUAAUACCGCAUAACAACGAAAACCGCAUGGUUUUCGUUUCAAAGAUGGUUUCGGCUAUCACUUCAGGAUGGGCCCGCGGUGCAUUAGCUAGUUGGUAAGGUAACGGCUUACCAAGGCGAUGAUGCAUAGCCGAGUUGAGAGACUGAUCGGCCACAAUGGAACUGAGACACGGUCCAUACUCCUACGGGAGGCAGCAGUAGGGAAUCUUCCACAAUGGGCGCAAGCCUGAUGGAGCAACACCGCGUGAGUGAAGAAGGGUUUCGGCUCGUAAAGCUCUGUUGUUGGAGAAGAACGUGCGUGAGAGUAACUGUUCACGCAGUGACGGUAUCCAACCAGAAAGUCACGGCUAACUACGUGCCAGCAGCCGCGGUAAUACGUAGGUGGCAAGCGUUAUCCGGAUUUAUUGGGCGUAAAGCGAGCGCAGGCGGUUGUUUAGGUCUGAUGUGAAAGCCUUCGGCUUAACCGAAGAAGUGCAUCGGAAACCGGGCGACUUGAGUGCAGAAGAGGACAGUGGAACUCCAUGUGUAGCGGUGGAAUGCGUAGAUAUAUGGAAGAACACCAGUGGCGAAGGCGGCUGUCUGGUCUGCAACUGACGCUGAGGCUCGAAAGCAUGGGUAGCGAACAGG